The sequence is a ribosomal RNA, 401 nucleotides long. It matches the Rfam family "Bacterial small subunit ribosomal RNA", at positions 355 to 774 of the family's 1533-position model.
UGGGGAAUAUUGCACAAUGGACGAAAGUCUGAUGCAGCGACGCCGCGUGAGGGAAGAAGGUAUUCGUAUUGUAAACCUCUGUCUUCGGGGACGAUAAUGACGGUACCCGAGGAGGAAGCCACGGCUAACUACGUGCCAGCAGCCGCGGUAAAACGUAGGUGGCAAGCGUUGUCCGGAAUUACUGGGUGUAAAGGGAGCGCAGGCGGUUCUUUAAGUUGGAUGUAUAAUCUAUGGGCUCAACCCAUAAUCGCAUUCAAAACUGAAGAACUUGAGUGAAGUAGAGGUAGGCGGAAUUUCCGGUGUAGCGGUGGAAUGCGUAGAUAUCGGAAGGAACACCAGUGGCGAAGGCGGCCUACUGGGCUUUAACUGACGCUGAGGCUCGAAAGCAUGGGUAGCAAACA